Molecule: ribosomal RNA, 1396 nt
Filed under: uncultured bacterium
Lineage: Bacteria
Description: 16S ribosomal RNA
Rfam family: Bacterial small subunit ribosomal RNA
Source: RNAcentral
AGAGUUUGAUCCUGGCUCAGGACGAACGCUGGCGGCGUGCCUAACACAUGCAAGUCGAACGGAACUGAUUUGAAAUAUUUCUUCUGAAUGAAUUUGAUUUAGUUUAAUGGCGGACGGGUGAGUCACGCCUGAAUAGCCUGACUUCAAGAGGGGGAUAACGUUCUGAAAAGAAUGCUCAUACCGCCUGACAUAUCCUAAUCACAAUGGGUCUGAUAUCCAAGAUUUUAUCGCUUGAAGAUGGACUCGCGUCCGAUUAGUUAGUUGGUGAGGUAACGGCUCACCAAGACGGCGAUCGGUAGCCGGACUGAGAGGUUGAACGGCCACAUUGGGACUGAGACACGGCCCAGACUCCUACGGGAGGCAGCAGUGGGGGAUAUUGCGCAAUGGGGGCAACCCUGAUGCAGCAACGCCGCGUGAAGGAUGAAGGUUUUCGGAUUGUAAACUUCUUUUAUUAAGGACGAAUUUUGACGGUACUUACUGAAUAAGCUCCGGCUAACUACGUGCCAGCAGCCGCGGUAAUACGUAGGGAGCAAGCGUUGUCCGGAUUUACUGGGUGUAAAGGGUGCGCUAGGCGGGCUUUGCAAGUUCAGAUGUGAAAUCCUAUGGGCUCAACCCAUAAAUUGCAUUUGAAACUGUAGACCUUGAGUGAAGUAGAGGCAGGUGGAAUUCCCGCGUGUAGCGGUGAAAUGCGUAGAGUUGGGGAGGAACACCAGUGGCGAAGGCGGCCUGCUGGGCUUUAACUGACGCUGAGGCUCGAAAGCGUGGGUAGCAAACAGGAUUAGAUACCCUGGUAGUCCACGCCGUAAACGAUGAUUACUAGGUGUGGGGGGUGGGUCCCCUUCCGCACCGGAGUUAACACAAUAAGUAAUCCUCCUGGGGAGGAGGGCGGCAAGGUGGAAACUCAUAGGAAUAGUCGGGGGCCCGCACAACCAGCGGAGUAGGUGGUUUUAUUAGAGGCAACGCGAAGAACCUCCUCAGGUGUUGACAUCCUACUAUGGAAGUAGAGAUACUUUAGGUGCCCUUCGGGGAAAGUUGAGCCAGGUGGUGCAUGGUGUUGUUCGGUUGGUGUGGUGAGAUGUGGGGUUAAUUCCGGCAAGGAGGGCACCCCUUGUUAUUAGUUGUUAGGCAGGAGCAUUUUAAUAGGACUCCGGUGGCCAAAAGGGAGGAAGGGGGGGAGGAGGUCAAUUCUUCAUCCCCCUUAUGACUUGGGUUCCCCACGUAUUCCAAUGGAUGUUACCAGAGGGAAGCAGGCCAGGGAGGGGGAGCAAACUCCUAAAAACAUUCUCAGUUCAGAUUGCAGGCUGCAACCCGCCUGCAUGAAGUUGGAAUUGCUAGUAAUCGCGGAUCAGCAUGCCGCGGUGAAUAAAUUCCCGGGCCUUGCACUCACCGCCCGUCA